RNAcentral lists this long non-coding RNA (268 nucleotides) under Phoenix dactylifera (date palm). Its description in RNAcentral is "long non-coding RNA (PDAC_LNC001336)". Lineage: Eukaryota; Viridiplantae; Streptophyta; Magnoliopsida; Arecales; Arecaceae. The record is from RNAcentral.
AAAUCAGCUAAUUAUUUUCCUUAAGCUGAAUUUCCUCUUCAACUCAUCCUUUAUUGCCCUCUUGCACUCUUUCAUUCAUUUUUCUCUGAGAUUGCAGCUUCCUGGCUAUAUUCUAGUUGUGCUCCUGUUUGCGUGCAAAAAAUGUGCACAUAUUUUAGAGGGCCACCCUGUUUUCCCUUCAACUAUUCUCAGAUUCAACUAUUCUCUUCUUGAACUUCUUUUUAAUGGCUGCAGUUGCUGAAUAUAUGACAUUUCUCCUUGGCUCUCA